RNAcentral lists this ribosomal RNA (429 nucleotides) under Gemmatimonadota bacterium. RNAcentral's name for it is "Gemmatimonadetes bacterium partial 16S ribosomal RNA". It matches the Rfam family "Bacterial small subunit ribosomal RNA", at positions 355 to 776 of the family's 1533-position model. The record is from RNAcentral. Lineage: Bacteria; Pseudomonadati; Gemmatimonadota.
UAGGGAAUCUUCGGCAAUGGACGAAAGUCUGACCGAGCAACGCCGCGUGAGUGAAGAAGGUUUUCGGAUCGUAAAACUCUGUUGUUAGAGAAGAACAAGGACGUUAGUAACUGAACGUCCCCUGACGGUAUCUAACCAGAAAGCCACGGCUAACUACGUGCCAGCAGCCGCGGUAAUACGUAGGUGGCAAGCGUUGUCCGGAUUUAUUGGGCGUAAAGCGAGCGCAGGCGGUUUCUUAAGUCUGAUGUGAAAGCCCCCGGCUCAACCGGGGAGGGUCAUUGGAAGCUGGGAGACUUGAGUGCAGAAGAGGAGAGUGGAAUUCCAUGUGUAGCGGUGAAAUGCGUAGAUAUAUGGAGGAACACCAGUGGCGAAGGCGGCUCUCUGGUCUGAAACUGACGCUGAGGAUCGAAAGCGUGGGGAUCAAACAGG